This 485-nucleotide long non-coding RNA is filed under the name Glycine max (soybean). Its description in RNAcentral is "long non-coding RNA (GMAX_LNC004235)". Lineage: Eukaryota; Viridiplantae; Streptophyta; Magnoliopsida; Fabales; Fabaceae. The record is from RNAcentral.
AUAAGUGUUGGUGUCGAAAACAUACAACAACACUUCAAACAAGAGAGGUAUUUAUGCUUCAUAGAGGGUAAUGCAAAAGAAGCAACAUGAAGUUUAAUAGGGCCAUGCAACCUUCGUGGUUGCUAAAUGAAGUGCAAAAGUUUUAUCUAUAUAUCAAAAUGUUUAAGGGGUCGCAGCCAAUAAAUUGAAGUAACACACAGAAAAUAUAAACGGAUAAGUUAUAGUUAGUUUCCUCUAUGCUACUGUUUGCUAUCUUAUGUUAUUUUCUGUGAUUAGUCCCAUUUAGCAAUAAUUACUAGUAGCCAUGCAUGUAACAGCACACUAUAUGUGCAGAUGUAUCAUCCACUGGUAUUAACGAGAAUCAUUCAAUCGUGUUCAGUAUUUUAAAUUUUCUCUUCAUAACUUAACUUUCAAUCUCUUUUCUCUUCAUUCUUCAUCAACUGCCGUAUACCAUCAGAAAAACAUUUGAAGAAAUUAUAUGAACC